RNAcentral lists this ribosomal RNA (240 nucleotides) under uncultured bacterium. RNAcentral describes it as "partial 16S ribosomal RNA". It matches the Rfam family "Bacterial small subunit ribosomal RNA", at positions 118 to 352 of the family's 1533-position model. The record is from RNAcentral.
UGAACAAUCUGCCCUUCUCAUCGGAAUAAGCGUUGGAAACGACGUCUAAUGCCGAAUACGACCUCCUUUCGCAUGAUCGGAGGUGGGAAGCUCCGGCGGAGAAGGUUGAGCUCGCGGCCUAUCAGCUAGUUGGUGUGGGUAAUGGCCCACCAAGGCGACGACGGGUAGCCGGCCUGAGAGGGUGACCGGCCACACUGGGAACUGAGACACGGCCCAGGACCUCCGUAACGGGGAGGCAGC